Zonotrichia albicollis (white-throated sparrow) is the source of this 407-nucleotide long non-coding RNA. RefSeq lists it as uncharacterized. The record is from RefSeq and is a predicted model, not a curated record. Lineage: Eukaryota; Metazoa; Chordata; Aves; Passeriformes; Passerellidae.
CAGGUUCAGAGAAUGUGAAUCCCACAGUGUGACAUGAAGGAAACACUGAUUUGCACAGUGUUGUGGAUCUUCCUAAGAAGUAAGCCCAGGCUGCAUGAUUAAGAUCAGAGUCAAGAACACAACUGUGCAGAUCUCAACCACUGGGACCAUUGCUGUGCACUGAGAUAACCAAAAAAGAGCUUGAAGAGAUUUUUGACUGAAAUCAGUGAUUUAAAAGAAAAGAGUGGAUGCCCUUAAACACUUUUUCCCUGAAGGACUCUAAAUGUUGUGGUGAUUGCUGUAUAACCUGACUGGCACUGUCUGAAUGGGAAGGGGUGAGAAUGAAGUUUGGAGCUGUCGAUAAGGAUUCUGAUCGAAAUACUGCAUGCCUCAAAGAAGCAAGGCAAUGGAAGGCAAGCAGCUUUUGG